Molecule: long non-coding RNA, 269 nt
Filed under: Lathyrus oleraceus (garden pea)
Lineage: Eukaryota; Viridiplantae; Streptophyta; Magnoliopsida; Fabales; Fabaceae
Description: Pisum sativum (pea) long non-coding RNA (PSAT_LNC006135)
Source: RNAcentral
GUUUUGGUACAAACCCUAAGUACACGUGCAUGCAUAAUCCGCAGGAAACAAUGAAGAACACGCAAGUAAUUUCGCAGGUAAUGGUAUGAAGGUCCUAGCAAAAUCCGUAGGAAAAGUGCAGGAAGUUAUGAACAUGAUGAAGAUCUUGAAGAUCUUCAUCCUCAAAUUUCCAGAAAAUUUCAACAUGUCCAGAAUUAUAAAUCAAGCAUAUCAUUGGAUUCAUCAUGCAACAUACAUUCACAAUCCAUAAUCAUUUCAACAUAAAACAU